UUGACCCUGGAGUGUGCGUCAGCGGAUCCGCGUCCCUGAGCCGAUAAGCACAUCUAAGGGUGGGAUGUUACAUGCUUUUGAGCAAGCUCGGCUUGUACCGAGAAGCCUACGGUAUGUUCUUCUCAUCCGCCUUGAACCGCAGGGUUCAAGGGCAAAAGAUCCCAACGGCACUCCGGGGCCAAU
Molecule: non-coding RNA, 183 nt
Organism: Grimontia sp. AD028
Lineage: Bacteria; Pseudomonadati; Pseudomonadota; Gammaproteobacteria; Vibrionales; Vibrionaceae
Source: Rfam